Molecule: non-coding RNA, 1507 nt
Organism: Coturnix japonica (Japanese quail)
Lineage: Eukaryota; Metazoa; Chordata; Aves; Galliformes; Phasianidae
Source: RefSeq, a predicted model, not a curated record
GCAUCACUUCAAGAGUUUUUUCACUGGAAACCAGAAUUUUUAAAAAACAUUCAGUGAGAUAAUUCAUUUUGCCCCAGGGUUUCCUGCAUAGUGCACUGCAGCCCUUUGCUGCAGCCAGCAGCCGCCAGUGUGACUUUGGCUGCUGUGCUCUCUUAGGGAUAGAAAGCUACAUUGCCCUAAUCAGACCAUCUCUGCUCCAGCAGCCAAGGUAUUAAUGUGUAACCUCAGCUGGCUCUUGUAAAUUUGAGGUUUACAUUUUUGCUUUUACUUGUUAAGAAACAUUGUGAGUGUCAGAUAUUGAAGGCUUGUGUUUGCUUGCCUGUGAGAUACGAGGUCACUAACUCAGAUUCAGCGGGCAAGUAAACUUGUGACCUUGUGCUAAAAAUUAAUAAACCACCAUCAGCACCUCAAACAGAGGGGGAAGGCAGCAUCUGCUUGUGUUAGCUCAAGCCUGGACCUGCUUUUCAUUCAUAAUGACCUGACUGCAAAUGGAGGCUGCUGUAUUUUAUGUUGCAGACUGCCUUCUGAAGGAGACUGACCCAAGACGCGUGGCAUCAUUAAAUUGGGAAUGAUGCUGGACAUGCACUGCAACCACACAAGUGAAAGGAGCCUCCCUGUCUAUGCUCUGCCCACAGACACAACAUGCCCUCCCUGGAUGUUUGAUUUGUGGAGGGACAAGGAAAAGAGAGAAUGCCGAUUUCCACAAGCCAUGUUGCCUUCUAGUCAUAAGAGACUCAGCAUCUAUAUGAAAACAGACACUGCAUUCCUUCUGACUGAUUGCAGGAGCACAACAACACUGUGUGGGCCUCUGGAAAGCCACCCAGCAGCCACAGACUGACUUUGGGUCUCCUCUGUGCAUGUAACCUUUAUGCCUUCUACAAGGGCAUGUACUGGAAGAAGGAUACCUGGGCUAUUAGUACGGUAUGUAAGUGACUGUUCCAGGGAACUGCAUAUACCAGACUGAGUUUUUGCAGUAUUUACCCUGGCUUCCCAAGUGAGAUCCUUCUACCUUCUUUCAUAUCAUCCUCUUGUUCAUCAUACUGUGCAAAUGGUCGAGGCACCAUGUUUUGCUUCUUUUCAAGUUGUAACAUUGGGGUGUUGUACUGGGGUUAAGAAAUGAGGAAUAUUAACAAUAAAAAGAUGGAUACAAAAAUAACACAGCUGGAAAGAAAGCCUACCAAGGGAGAUGCCCUACUAGAGCUGCUGUUUAUGAACAGAGAAGGAAUGAUGGGAGAUAUGGGGGAUGGAAGCUGCCUUGGACAGAAUGAUCACAAAAUGAUAGAGUUUUCUAUUCUUGUGAUUCAAGACUAUGACCUUCGACUUCUGGAGAGUAUACUUUGGUCUGGCUAGGACUCUGAUUGCAAGAGUCUCCUGGGAAACAGCACUGAAGGGCAAAGGGCACAAAGGCAUGUGAGCAGGCCAUUCUUGCAUGCUGUAUGAUGAACCAAUGUGGAAGAAGAUCAGCCUGGCCAAACAGGCAGCUUUUGCUCAGAGACUGAGAAAAAAA